UACGUAGGGUGCGAGCGUUGUCCGGAAUUACUGGGCGUAAAGAGCUCGUAGGUGGUUUGUCGCGUUGUUCGAUGAAACCGGAGGCUCACCUCUGCGUGCGGGCGAUACGGGCAGACUUGAGUACUGCAGGGGAGACUGGAAUUCCUGGUGUAGCGGUGGAAUGCGCAGAUAUCAGGAGGAACACCGGUGGCGAAGGCGGGUCUCUGGGCAGUAACUGACGCUGAGGAGCGAAAGCGUGGGGAGCGAACAGG
Molecule: ribosomal RNA, 251 nt
Filed under: uncultured bacterium
Lineage: Bacteria
Description: partial 16S ribosomal RNA
Rfam family: Bacterial small subunit ribosomal RNA
Source: RNAcentral